RNAcentral lists this ribosomal RNA (253 nucleotides) under uncultured bacterium. RNAcentral describes it as "partial 16S ribosomal RNA". It matches the Rfam family "Bacterial small subunit ribosomal RNA", at positions 524 to 776 of the family's 1533-position model. The record is from RNAcentral.
UACGUAGGGUGCAAGCGUUAAUCGGAAUUACUGGGCGUAAAGCGUGCGCAGGCGGUUAUGCAAGACAGAUGUGAAAUCCCCGGGCUUAACCUGGGAACCGCAUUUGUGACUGCAUAGCUGGAGUACGGCAGAGGGGGAUGGAAUUCCGCGUGUAGCAGUGAAAUGCGUAGAUAUGCGGAGGAACACCGAUGGCGAAGGCAAUCCCCUGGGCCUGUACUGACGCUCAUGCACGAAAGCGUGGGGAGCAAACAGG